RNAcentral lists this ribosomal RNA (266 nucleotides) under uncultured Atopobium sp. Its description in RNAcentral is "partial 16S ribosomal RNA". It matches the Rfam family "Bacterial small subunit ribosomal RNA", at positions 89 to 354 of the family's 1533-position model. The record is from RNAcentral. Lineage: Bacteria; Bacillati; Actinomycetota; Coriobacteriia; Coriobacteriales; Atopobiaceae.
UAUAAAGUGGCGAACGGCUGAGUAACACGUGGGCAACCUGCCCUUUGCACUGGGAUAGCCUCGGGAAACCGAGGUUAAUACCGGAUACUCCAUAUUUGUGCAUGGCGAAUAUGGGAAAGCUCCGGCGGCAAAGGAUGGGCCCGCGGCCUGUUAGCUAGUUGGUGGGGUAGUGGCCUACCAAGGCAAUGAUGGGUAGCCGGGUUGAGAGACCGACCGGCCAGAUUGGGACUGAGACACGGCCCAGACUCCUACGGGAGGCAGCAGGC